AAAGAGAGAUUUAUUUAUCGAAUAGAAGUCUUCAAGAUCGAUAGGUUUGCUAAGUUUAAAACGUUCUUGAGUGAGAAGGUUUUCAACGUGUAAAACUAUCUUCUUGUUUUGUUCUUGAUUGUAAGUUACAAUUUAUUGUACAAAGGGUGGGUUUGGCUCUUUGUAGGGUUGAGUUUCAGUGAGGGUUGUAACAAAAGGUGGGUUUGGCCUUUUGAAGAGAUCGAUUGUAGUCAAUCGAGAGAGGUAGUAGAGAUAAAGGCUUUUUGAUUAUUGAGUUGUAAUCACAAAAUCAUAUAGUUGAAUUAAUAAAAUGAGGUUUUUCCUUCCUUAAGUGAGGAAGGUUUUUAAUUUAAUAAGUGUUUGUGUCUUUUUUUAAAAGCAACUUACAAGAACCUGGUUUUUGUUCAGGGGUAAGGUUUCUUCAAGAGUUUCGACCAAUCCCAAGCGGAGCCCGUCCAAAAAUUAGAGAGCUUGAGGUGAUAUUCUCCUUUCAUAAGAGGACCAUGAAGCAGAUUUCUAAGGGGAGGAGUAUCGGAAAUCCAACGAUGAUGCCAUAUAUUGAUGGAUAGGCCAGACUUAGGGGACCAACCAAUUCGCUUCCCUGAAGAAUAUAAUGUUCUUCCAAAUGAAAGGUUGGAAAUUGGCGUAGGCUCUGUCUUUGUAUUUUUGGGUAAGGGUUGUUGCCCACUGAGACUUGCUGGUAGUGAGAAUUCUCCGUGCAAGGCUUGUAAGAAGGAUUUUGUUCUUAGUUUCAUCGCUUUGCAGUCCUAGACAACCAUUUUCUUUUGCAGAUGUGAUAUUAUCCCACGCAACAUAAUGAAGCUUUCGUUUAUGGAUAGAGGACCACAAAAUAAAAUCUCUCUGUAUUUUAUCUAUAGUGAGUCAGAUCUUCUUUCGAAGUAAAAAUUAUUUCAUGGUAUAAGCCGAGAUGGCAUUGAGGGUAGUCUUAGCUAGUCUAACGCGACCAACUAUCGUCAUGAAUUGAGUUUUCCAGUUGGAGAGCUUUUUCUUCAUGUUAUCAAUAAUGUAUUGAAAAUCCUUGGGUGUAGGCUUUUGAGAAAGAAUAGGGAAGCCAAGGUUUCCCAAAUUGAGAAGGAGUUAUACUCAACAUGUUUUUGCAAGAUCUUGCGCAUUGUCUUUGCAGUGAAGAGAGUAAAUGGCCUUAGAUAUGACUAGAAAAAAGGCAUAAGUCAUUCAAGCAUCUAGAAAUAGUUUGUAAGGAUUUGGAGGUUCCUUUUGUAAUCAAAGUUACUUCAUCUGCAAAAAAUAAAUGAAAAAAAAAAGAGGUCCAUGAGUUGAGAGUUGGAUCGGAUCCCACCGGGGAAGAUCCACCUGGUAGUGGAUAUAGGCGGAAAGAAGUUUCAUACACAUUAUGAAGAUGUAUGGGAACAUAGGGCCCCUUGCCUUAUUCCCCUAGAGGGAGAGAAGUAAGGGGUUUGAUUACCGUUAACUAAGACAGCAAUGCUAGAAGUGGUCAUACAACUCAUAAUGAGUUUGCAGAUUUUUGGAGGAAACUUGAAGUAAAGUAAAGUACGGUGGAAGAAGGACCAUUCGAGUCGAUCAAAGGCCUUCUCAAGGUUAAUUUUUAACAUGACCAUACCCUUUUUGCUUUCAGUAUGUUGAAGCUUAUUUAGGAGCUCUUGGACUAAUAUUGCGUUAUCGCUUGCCCUCCAACCUUCAAGAAAACUAGUUUGACAAGGUCCAAAAUUUUUUUUUUUUAUAUAUAAAAAAUAU
This 1734-nucleotide long non-coding RNA is filed under the name Solanum lycopersicum (tomato). RNAcentral's name for it is "long non-coding RNA (SLYC_LNC000237)". The record is from RNAcentral. Lineage: Eukaryota; Viridiplantae; Streptophyta; Magnoliopsida; Solanales; Solanaceae.